ACGUGUUUCCGCUCAGCGUAAAGUGUGCUCAUGCAAAGCUAGCGGAACAUGUUGAUGUUUUAUGUGCGUUUUGAUGGAAGAAUCGUCCUAUAAACAUGUUUACAUGGCCGUGGAGGCUUAAACGUUUACAAUAAUUGUUAGUGUAAUUGUAAAGCAGCUGCUGGAGCUGAAUUAGUUAACUCACAACCAUAACAACAACAACAACGUAAGUGGAGCGAAUUGAAAGACGGCACCAUGGCUAAUCUAGAGCAGUGGGUGAAUGACCGUCUCCAUGACAUCUUGGGCUUGAGUGACAGAUAUGUGUCUCAGUUCAUGAUUGGCACUGCACGGAAAGCACAGACAGCUCAAGAUUUUGUGGCUCGCCUCGAGCAGACGGGCACAAUUGAUGUUGACCAGAGUGUGAUUGCCUUUGCACAAGAGCUUUUUGACAAGAUUCCGGGCAAGCCGGUUGUUGAGAAAGCGUCCCGGGCGAUUGAACGUGAAGCCAUUGAAAUGGACAGGAAGAAUCGGACAUACACGUUACUGGAAGACAGCGACAGUGAUGGGGACGCUGUGCAGGACAAACAGAAAGGGAAAAGGAAAAGUAAGGACAGAGGAGACAGGAGGAAGCACAUCAGACAGAAGAAGAAGAAUGAGUCGUCUAGUGAGGAUGAAGUACCUAAAAGAGGCAGUUCAUCCCAGUCCAUGAAGAAUGAGGAAGAGGAGGAGGAAGAAUGGGAGAAGGAAGAGCGCGAGCGAUUGCAGGACAUCGAAGAAAGAGAUGCUUUUGCUGAGCGAGUGAGACAGAAAGACAAAGAAAAGACACGCAACAUAGCAGAGAGGACUGACAAAAAGGCCUACGAGGAGGCUCAGAAGAGGCUGAAGAUGGCUGAAGAAGAUCAGAAUAAAAUGCUGCCAGAGUUGAGAAAGCGUUCUCGCUGGGAUUAUCUAAAAAAGAGAGAAGCAGAGAAGAUUGAGGACCUGGAGGCAGAAAUCAUUGAUGAGGAGUACCUCUUCAAUACAGACGAGCUGAAUGAGCGGGAGAGAAAAGACUUGGAUUACAAACGCACCCUUCGAGACCUGGCUAAAGAUUACAAGAAGGCUGGAGCCAAGGAACAUGAGGAGAGGAAGAACAGAUACUACAUGCCGGAGGAGAAGAGAGGAAAGGAGGUGCCCCAGAGAGACCUGGAGCUGGAGGAAAUUCCCAUGGAGUUAGGAGGGGAACAAGGUCGUUGGGAGGAAGAGAGGCUGAAGACGGCCUCCCUCAGCUUUGGGGCAAAGAAAGAACGAGAGCAAAGGAUGAGGCGGGAGCAGGAGAAGUACCAGCUGGUCCUGGAGGAGGAUGAGAUGAUCAACUUUGUCAGCGCUGCCAUCACUAUGAAGGGAACGGCAGAAAAGGAUCAAGAGGAACCGGCUCUGUCUCAGAUGGAGCUGCAGAAACAGUCCCUGCAGGAGGUCAGACGCAGCCUUCCCAUCUUUCCUUACAGAGGAGACCUGCUUGCUGCGAUUCACCAGCACCAGAUCCUGGUCAUUGAAGGGGAGACAGGUUCUGGAAAAACCACCCAGAUCCCACAGUACCUCCUUGAAGACGGCUUCACUGAAGGUGGCAUGAAGAUCGGAUGCACACAGCCGCGCAGAGUGGCAGCCAUGUCUGUUGCAGCCAGAGUGGCACAGGAAAUGAGUGUCAAGCUUGGCAAUGAGGUUGGAUACAGCAUUCGCUUUGAGGACUGCACGUCAGAAAAAACCAUCCUAAAGUACAUGACAGAUGGCAUGCUGCUGCGAGAGUUUCUUACUGAGCCUGACCUGGCCAGCUACAGCGUGGUCAUCAUCGAUGAGGCCCACGAGCGAACGCUUCACACAGACAUCCUGUUUGGUUUGAUAAAGGACAUCGCCAGGUUCAGACCCGACUUGAAGGUGCUGGUGGCCAGUGCCACCCUCGACACUGAACGCUUCUCCUGCUUUUUCGACGACGCGCCCGUCUUUAGGAUUCCUGGCAGGAGGUUCCCUGUCGACAUCUUCUACACUAAAGCUCCAGAGGCAGACUAUCUGGAAGCGUGUGUGGUUUCAGUUCUACAGAUCCACGUCACCCAGGCUACUGGAGACAUUCUGGUCUUUCUCACUGGACAGGAGGAGAUCGAAGCAUGUUGCGAGUCGCUGCAGGAAAGAUGCAGACGACUAGGAUCGAAGAUCGCUGAGCUGCUGAUUCUUCCUAUAUAUGCCAACCUGCCGUCAGAAAUGCAGACAAAGAUCUUUGAACCCACUCCGCCUGGAGCCCGUAAAGUGGUGGUGGCGACCAACAUAGCAGAAACCUCACUGACCAUAGAUGGGAUUAUCUAUGUCAUUGAUCCAGGGUUCUGCAAGCAGAAAAGUUACAAUGCCCGCACUGGCAUGGAGUCGCUCAUCGUUACACCCUGCUCACGGGCUUCAGCCAACCAGAGAGCAGGGCGUGCAGGCAGGGUGGCUGCUGGGAAAUGUUUCAGGCUUUACACCGCCUGGGCCUUUAAACAUGAAAUGGAAGAAACGACUGUACCUGAGAUUCAGAGGACCAACCUCGGAAAUGUCGUCCUGCUGCUGAAGAGUCUUGGCAUCAAUGACCUCAUCCACUUUGACUUCAUGGACCCUCCACCUCAUGAAACGCUGGUGUUGGCACUGGAGCAGCUUUACGCCUUGGGAGCCCUCAAUCAUCUGGGGGAGCUCACCAAGCUCGGUCGAAGGAUGGCUGAGUUACCUGUGGACCCCAUGCUGAGCAAGAUGAUCCUGGCCUCUGAGCAGUACAAAUGCUCAGAGGAGGUGUUGACAAUAGCAGCCAUGCUGUCUGUGAACAACUCUAUUUUCUACCGACCCAAAGACAAGGUUGUACACGCCGACAAUGCCAGGAUGAACUUUGUGGUGCCGGGGGGAGACCACCUGGUGCUGCUCAAUGUCUACACGCAGUGGGUGGAGAGCAACUUCUCUACUCAGUGGUGCUACGAGAACUUCAUCCAGUUUCGCUCCAUGAAGAGGGCGCGGGAUGUCCGGGACCAGCUGGAGGGCCUGAUGAGCCGUAUUGAGGUGGAGGUGGUCAGCUCCCAGGGAGACGGUGUGCCUAUUCGCAAGGCGGUGACGGCAGGAUAUUUCUAUCACACAGCACGACUCAGCAAAGGCGGCUACAAGACAGUGAAGCACCAGCAGACGGUCUACGUUCACCCCAACAGCUCUCUGUUUGAGGAGCAGCCUCGCUGGCUCAUCUACCACGAGCUGGUCUUCACCACCAAAGAGUUCAUGAGACAGGUGAUCGAGAUAGACAGUGGCUGGCUGCUUGAAGUGGCUCCUCACUACUAUAAAAGCAAGGAGCUUGAAGACAGCAGCAGCAAGAAGAUGCCCCGCAAGCAGGGCAAAACCAAAGAGGAGCUGGGCUGAAGAGAGGAGCCACACUCAGGUUCCAGUGGACAGAGUUCACUUCAACUGUUGUUGUGAACCACGCCCUUUUCUUCAAACACGCUAUGAUGUCACGACUGUUGAUGACAAUAAAACUGGGACAAACGCUGGCUCUUGACAUGUGGUCCAGCUGGUCCAACAGGUCUGACGAGAGGAAGAGGAGGGAGAGCAGGAGGCGGCGAGGAGAAAGAGGAGGGCUUCACAGAGGAGGCACUGCUGCAUUCAGACACCACAG
Solea solea (common sole) is the source of this 3631-nucleotide RNA transcript. It is a transcript of the gene named DEAH (Asp-Glu-Ala-His) box polypeptide 16, with no coding region annotated. The transcript has 22 exons. The record is from RefSeq and is a predicted model, not a curated record. Lineage: Eukaryota; Metazoa; Chordata; Actinopteri; Pleuronectiformes; Soleidae.